Molecule: ribosomal RNA, 500 nt
Filed under: uncultured Myrionecta
Lineage: Eukaryota; Ciliophora; Litostomatea; Cyclotrichida; Mesodiniidae
Description: bacterial SSU rRNA
Rfam family: Eukaryotic small subunit ribosomal RNA
Source: RNAcentral
UUACCAGGUCAAGACAUGGGCGUGAUAGACAGAAUAAUGACUUUUCUCGAUUCCAUGGAUGGUGGUGCAUGGUCGCACUUAGUUGGUGCAGUGAUUUGUCAGGUUUAUUCCGGUAACGAACGAGACCUCGGCCUUGUAAAUAGCUAUGCUGCUUACAGGGACAUUGGCGGCUACGCCAAGGAAGCUCGAGGCAAUUGCAGAUCUGGAAUGCCCUUAGAUGUCCUGGGUCGCACGCGUGCUACAAUGACGCCACGAACGAGCUUGCGUGAUGAAAGUUACGCAUAAUCAGCAGUCGGCGUCUUAAGGGAUAGUCUCUUGUAACUGUGGGACUCCAACUAGGAAUGUCUCGUAAGCACAAGUCAACAUCUUGUGUUGAUUACGUCCCUCUCGUGUCACACCGCCCGUCGCUCCUCCGAUGGAGUUCUCUAAUUGAUGGACGUAAGGAAGUCAAAUAAACUGAGCACUAGAGAAGUGAGUGACGGAGGGACCGUGGUAAGCCU